UACGUAGGGUCCGAGCGUUGUCCGGAAUUAUUGGGCGUAAAGAGCUCGUAGGCGGUCUGUCACGUCGGCUGUGAAAACCUGGGGCUCAACUCCAGGCCUGCAGUCGAUACGGGCAGACUAGAGUUCGGUAGGGGAGACUGGAAUUCCUGGUGUAGCGGUGAAAUGCGCAGAUAUCAGGAGGAACACCGGUGGCGAAGGCGGGUCUCUGGGCCGAAACUGACGCUGAGGAGCGAAAGCGUGGGGAGCAAACAGG
RNAcentral lists this ribosomal RNA (253 nucleotides) under uncultured bacterium. RNAcentral's name for it is "partial 16S ribosomal RNA". It matches the Rfam family "Bacterial small subunit ribosomal RNA", at positions 524 to 776 of the family's 1533-position model. The record is from RNAcentral.